UUGCGUGCGGCGCGUUUUCUGAGAACGGCACCUCCACCGUGGUAAUAUGCGGACUUUCAAGCUUCAGAGCCUCGGAGAAGCUCCACAGAGAACCCGUGAAAAGGUGAACUUUCUCGGAUAACCUGGGGAGUUGACCUCCCAAGGGACUUGGAACACCUCUCUGCUAAGCACAAGGCUGGAAGCCAGCUUGUCUAUAUAUUACAGGUAGGUAGGUGGUGGCAGCAGUACUCUGCCUCCCAUUGCAGCUUGGGACGUGUGACCGUUUGGCCAGGGACUUGACAGGCAAGGUACGUCCAAAGACUUUGCGCAUCUCUGAGGGACAACUAUUUGUAUAAUAAUUAUUUGUUAUUCAUUCAUUCAUUCAUUGAAAAACCUAAAGGUCUUAAGCAUCACAUAGGGGUGACAACUAUGAAUACUGCGUAACUCAAUUUCUCAAACAGAGCUAAUUGAAGAAAUCUGGCACACAUCUGCGUGCUUCUUUGCAAAUGUCGUCGAAAGAUGAGUCUUCUUCUGGCUGUACUACAGGAGUUCUGGUCUCAUUCGCGACCACCCGUGAUGCUGUUCUCGUACCAUUUUCGUCUGGUCAUAAUCAAUGCAAUGGAGAUUUGUUUGAACAGAUUUCAUCUUACCGCAUUAUCACUAUUGGCAUGCCAUGUGUUCAUACCUCCACAACAUGUCUGCAAUGUUUGGGUUGAGUGUGGUACUGUAUAGCACGAUAGUUUGCAAAGAACCCUUUGUGAGACAUGAAUGAAUGCGCGGAAGGGUCAGUGGCUGUGUGCGUGCACUACUGGUGCACCGAAGUAGGCCACACCAUAUUGUCGGCAGAGGGCUUUUUUCAUGCAUAGCAUUGCGUUUUCAGCGCUGCCUAAAGAACAUUAAGGUCUUCAGAAUUGUGUAUCUAUGUAUUUUGUAGUAGGAACACAGGAAUUUUUUUUCUUAUUCAGGUAUAUUAUGCGUGCUCAGGGUAACGCAUACAGGACAGACACAAGGACAAAUGACACUUAUACCGGGGCCCAAUUCAACCAGUUCGAACCAACGCAUUGCAAGGCGCAACUUCACACGCCACUCCCAGGCAUUACGACCCCUGUGACUACCGGGUGCCGGGUAAGGGGGAUGCCUGUACCCAUGCUUCUUAAACCGGUGAGUGCCGGCGGUGCGAUUCGAAACAGUCACCUUUCAUAGCCGAGGAGAACAUACAAUCCACUAGGCAUUGGCUAUGGUAACUUAAUUCACGAAUUGAUGUUACUCCUCAAAUAUUCAUACUAUAGCGACAAUGUUCAAAA
Molecule: long non-coding RNA, 1283 nt
Organism: Rhipicephalus microplus (southern cattle tick)
Lineage: Eukaryota; Metazoa; Arthropoda; Arachnida; Ixodida; Ixodidae
Source: RefSeq, a predicted model, not a curated record